RNAcentral lists this ribosomal RNA (301 nucleotides) under uncultured bacterium. RNAcentral describes it as "partial 16S ribosomal RNA". It matches the Rfam family "Bacterial small subunit ribosomal RNA", at positions 509 to 809 of the family's 1533-position model. The record is from RNAcentral.
CAGUCGCCGCGGGAAUACGAGGGGUGCAAGCGUUAUUCGGAUUGAUUGGGUGUAAAGCGCGCGCAGGCGGAUAGGUCAGUCUGUCUUAAAAGUUCGGGGCUUAACCCCGUGAUGGGAUGGAAACUGCCAAUCUAGAGUAUCGGAGAGGAAAGUGGAAUUCCUAGUGUAGCGGUGAAAUGCGUAGAUAUUAGGAAGAACGCCAGUGGCGAAGGCGACUUUCUGGACGAAAACCGACGCUGAGGCGCGAAAGCCAGGGGAGCGAACGGGAUUAGAUACCCGCGUAGUCCCUGUCUCUUAUACA